This 305-nucleotide ribosomal RNA is filed under the name uncultured bacterium. RNAcentral's name for it is "bacterial SSU rRNA". It matches the Rfam family "Bacterial small subunit ribosomal RNA", at positions 334 to 656 of the family's 1533-position model. The record is from RNAcentral.
UGUGCCUACGGGAGGCAGCAGUGGGGAAUAUUGCACAAUGGGGGAAACCCUGAUGCAGCGACGCCGCGUGAGCGAAGAAGUACCUCGGUAUGUAAAGCUCUAUCAGCAGGGAAGAAAGUGACAGUACCUGACUAAGAAGCCCCGGCUAACUACGUGCCAGCAGCCGCGGUAAUACGUAGGGGGCAAGCGUUAUCCGGAAUUACUGGGUGUAAAGGGAGCGUAGACGGUGAUGCAAGUCUGGAGUGAAAGGCGGGGGCCCAACCCCCGGACUGCUCUGAAAACUGUAUGACUUGAGUGCAGGCGAG